UUGGGCGUUUAGCUCAGCUGGUUAGAGCACUGCCCUGAUAAGGCAGAGGUCUCUGGUUCGAGUCCAGAAACGCCCACCACUCGACCGGCCGCCGCAGGGUGCCGGGACGGAUGGGGACGUAGCUCAGUCGGAAGAGCAUCUCCUUUGCAAGGAGAGGGUCAGGAGUUCGAGUCUCCUCGUCUCCACCACGACCCCGACGAGAAGGAGGACGGACUGACGGCACCACGACAGCGCAGGCAAUCGAAUAUCGGGUAGACCCCGGCGACUCUCGACGGUGAACGACCGGCUGCUUCCAGGCGGCUCGAGUGACCCUCGGGUCGUCUUCGUGCGUCAGAGACAUCCAUCGACCCCCUGAUCCGUGGGUUCGAGGCUGCGGCCUCGAGGUCACCGACCAGUGGACCGCUGGGCGGGCUUCGGCCCGGGCCUCCUCUGGAGGCGGCACCUUACCAAGUGAAGAUGUGAUCGGCAAAGAGAUUUACGAGUAUUCGUACUUCGAUUUCUGCCGUGAAUCGACGACAAGGUGAUGACCCCGAGGACCAUCCCUUCACGACUGACCGUUGGGUGAGUUGCUGAGGGAGGUCAAGCUACACAGGGCACGG
Molecule: transfer RNA, 599 nt
Filed under: uncultured bacterium
Lineage: Bacteria
Description: partial may contain 16S ribosomal RNA, 16S-23S ribosomal RNA intergenic spacer, and 23S ribosomal RNA
Rfam family: tRNA (bases 3-76)
Source: RNAcentral